RNAcentral lists this ribosomal RNA (727 nucleotides) under Priestia megaterium. RNAcentral's name for it is "bacterial SSU rRNA". It matches the Rfam family "Bacterial small subunit ribosomal RNA", at positions 51 to 757 of the family's 1533-position model. The record is from RNAcentral. Lineage: Bacteria; Bacillati; Bacillota; Bacilli; Caryophanales; Bacillaceae.
AAUCAUGCAAGUCGAGCGAACUGAUUAGAAGCUUGCUUCUAUGACGUUAGCGGCCCCCCGGGUGAGUAACACGUGGGCAACCUGCCUGUCCCCACUGGGAUAACUUCGGGAAACCGAAGCUAAUACCGGAUAGGAUCUUCUCCUUCAUGGGAGAUGAUUGAAAGAUGGUUUCGGCUAUCACUUACAGAUGGGCCCGCGGUGCAUUAGCUAGUUGGUGAGGUAACGGCUCACCAAGGCAACGAUGCAUAGCCGACCUGAGAGGGUGAUCGGCCACACUGGGACUGAGACACGGCCCAGACUCCUACGGGAGGCAGCAGUAGGGAAUCUUCCGCAAUGGACGAAAGUCUGACGGAGCAACGCCGCGUGAGUGAUGAAGGCUUUCGGGUCGUAAAACUCUGUUGUUAGGGAAGAACAAGUACAAGAGUAACUGCUUGUACCUUGACGGUACCUAACCAGAAAGCCACGGCUAACUACGUGCCAGCAGCCGCGGUAAUACGUAGGUGGCAAGCGUUAUCCGGAAUUAUUGGGCGUAAAGCGCGCGCAGGCGGUUUCUUAAGUCUGAUGUGAAAGCCCACGGCUCAACCGUGGAGGGUCAUUGGAAACUGGGGAACUUGAGUGCAGAAGAGAAAAGCGGAAUUCCACGUGUAGCGGUGAAAUGCGUAGAGAUGUGGAGGAACACCAGUGGCGAAGGCGGCUUUUUGGUCUGUAACUGACGCUGAGGCGCGAA